UACGAAGGGGGCAAGCGUUGGUCGGGUUUACUGGGCGUAAAGGGCGCGUGGGCGGAUCUGCAAGUCAGAGGUGAAAGCCCUGGGCUCAACCCGGGAAUGGCCUUUGAGACUGCAAGUCUUGAGUGCGAGAGAGGGUGGCGGAAUACCCAGUGUAGAGGUGAAAUUCGUAGAUAUUGGGUAGAACACCGGUGGCGAAGGCGGCCACCUGGCUCGCAACUGACGCUGAGGCGCGAAAGCGUGGGGAGCAAACAGG
Molecule: ribosomal RNA, 253 nt
Filed under: uncultured bacterium
Lineage: Bacteria
Description: partial 16S ribosomal RNA
Rfam family: Bacterial small subunit ribosomal RNA
Source: RNAcentral